Molecule: unclassified non-coding RNA, 178 nt
Filed under: fungal sp.
Lineage: Eukaryota; Fungi
Description: partial contains small subunit ribosomal RNA and internal#transcribed spacer 1
Source: RNAcentral
UAAGCUGUGCCUGAAGAAUAUCGGAGUAGGGGAGAGAAAAACACUCAAAUGCUUCUAACGGAUGAGCAUUUGUGCAUUGAAGUGCAUGUAAUUCCGGUAAAUCCUUUGUUUUAUAAUAGAGUAAUUGCUGAUUGACACUGUCCAGAAUAAUACCUUGCGAACCGGAAAAGUUGAUACG